CGUAGGUGGCGAGCGUUGUCCGGAAUUAUUGGGACGUAAAGGGAGCGCAGGCGGGAAAGGUAGGUCUAUCUUAAAAGUGCGGGGCUCAACCCCGGUGAGGGGAUGGAAACUAUCUUUCUUGAGUGCAGGAGAGGAAAGCGGAAUUCCUAGUGUAGCGGUGAAAUGCGUAGAUAUUAGGAGGAACACCAGUGGCGAAGGCGGCUUUCUGGACUGUAACUGACGCUGAGGCUCGAAAGCGUGGGGAGCGA
RNAcentral lists this ribosomal RNA (248 nucleotides) under uncultured bacterium. Its description in RNAcentral is "partial 16S ribosomal RNA". It matches the Rfam family "Bacterial small subunit ribosomal RNA", at positions 526 to 771 of the family's 1533-position model. The record is from RNAcentral.